GCGCGCCGAGACAGGUGCAACCGGGGCGGGCGGGUCGGGGGGCACCGCCGCCUCCCCGGGCUCCCCCACUGCUUCCCUCCGUCCCUCCCCACGAUGUUGUUUCGUUAUAUCAUGUCCAUCAUGUGACACCCGGAGGCCUCUCUAUGGAAACUUAAAGGGGACUUUCACGUCCGCCGCCGCCGGACCUGCCGGUACCCCCGUGGGGCUGCGAGCCCUGCCGGUGCCCGCCUGCCCUCCCUCCGCUACCUCCCUUCCCGGGGGGCUGCGCUCCGUGGUCCUACCGCCCUUUGCUUAAAGCAAGUUGCUGCGCUUCCUUCUUCUAUUAUUAUUUAUUAGGGGUUGGUUUGGUGUUUGUGUUUUAGGUUGUUUUGGUCUUUUUUUGCUUUUUCCCCUUCUCUUUUCGCAGAAAGGAAUAGCCGGGGAAUAAACGGCCGGGCAGGCACCGUGCGGAAGGAUGGACCCCGCUCCUGGAGGCUGCGGGAUCCGGUGCUCGUCUGCGGCCGCGGCGAGUCGGGUGCUGGAAGCGGCAGAAAAAACAAAAAAUCCAAAUCAACCAAAAGAAAAAAAAACCAAAAUAAAUAAGGCGGAAAAACCUCGUUUGUGUCGGAGGGAAGAGGAGCAGAUGUGAGCAGUUCUGCCCGUGCGGGGUCGAUGCGGUGGUCGCUACCGCCGCGUUUAACUCUGCCAGUCGGUAGCGAAACGAUUUCGCCGUCGCGACCCGUCGCACCGCCGGCUCCCGACAGCCGGCUCUGUGCCGAGCUGUUGGAAGAAGCCGCUCCUAGGGAUGUGCGCUGGCCACUGCAACACUACCAGCAAGCAGCUAGCCCUCACAGAAAGAAAAGGAGAAGAUGCCGACAAUUACCCGUGGUUCGGACAGCCCCCGCUUCCCCGCGCAUCCCGCUGCCCGGCCGCAGCCGCCGGGGGUUCGGGGCCGGCCGGCGGCAGCGCCGCGCUCCUCCGGCUGCUGUUCCGCCUUCGGUGCUGAAGUGGGUUUUAUUCCCUGCUCUCCACCAGCCCCCAGGAUUUGGGUUCAGGGAGCUGAAGCCCACCCGUUCCACGGUCCCACCACCGGGCUGACAACGCGCAGGGGGCUCUGGGGGUUUUCCCCAUGGAAGGUUCCUGCAGGAGGCCUCCAAAUUCUGUUCCUUAACUGGUGGCAUCGGUGUUGGUAACCAAAUGCAAGGCUUUAGGGGCUAGACUGAAAAGAAGGAGAUAGAUUUGUUGUUUAAAACUAAAGGAGGAAAAGCAAUCCCGCAUUCACUCCUUCCUUACAGCCUCCAGCAGCCCCUCAACAGAUUAAAAAAGCAUGAUCCACAAAUGCAGUAAAUUUUAAGUUGGGGAUUUAAUUUUUUUUAUGUCUCACCACGUUUUCUUUAAGGAAGUCAUAUAAACGACUUUUUUCCAGCUGCUGGGUUGGUGAUGAUGGCUGUCAGCCACUGGAGGGGACUGGAGCCACCCGGCCACUCGGCACAGGCCCAAUUCUGCAGGGACAGUGGAUCAUCUCCCUUAGCUCUCCCAUUUGUGCUUUGGACUUGAAAUAUCUGUUCUUUGCCCCACUCAUUUCCAGGUGCCCAUGCAAAGGGUUGUGUAUCUAACAGAUCAGUGUUUCAGAUAUCUCUACUAUUAUUUUUAAAUUAUUUUUAAUUUUUUUUAAAAUUUUUUUUUUUUUUAGUUUUGUAAAAAUUACUAAUGAUUUCAGCUGAAAAGAGUUAAUAGACUGAGGAGCAGUUCAUCCUUCUUUCCUUACUUCUUCUCGGAGUCUUCCUUCUAUCCACCCUACACACUGUUUAUGUUUAUCUCACCCAUCCAGUUUUGGGGGAAUUUCCUCUCUGGGCACCUUUCUGCCAUUUAUCCAGGCUGUCCCACUGCUGUGGAGCCUUAAGUACAAUUUGCCUUUCUUCCCGUAUCUCCGGGCCUCCUUUCCCUGCCUCACUAAGCCUCUUUUUAUUCCGUAUUCCCUUCUUCAGAUCAUCCUUAAAGGAGGAAGAGGCUGGAGCUGGGAUUUAAAGUAGUCUUUUAGGAGUACUGCCAGAACUGAUCUGUUUUACUCUGCUGCUGCUGCUGUUGCUGUUCUGCUGUGUCAUGGGAAGAGUUUCCUCUCCACACCAACCCUUGGAAGCGGCACCUCGGGCAGAGCCGCUCGCUGCAAACCGUGGCCGUGUUUUACAAAGCCCUAGGUAAGUUUGUCUGGUGCAGGCUUGAGCCUGGAAGGAGAAUGCCUUCCUGUGCUCUGACCUGGAGGGCUGUGCACGAUUUUGGGAGAUUUGCAGGAGGCAGAGUGGCGGCAGCAGCAGUGACAGCGCAUCAUCGCUCAGCUUUAUUUCAUUUUCUCAAGCCAAGAUGCUCUAGGUUACAGCCCAGCAGAAAAGGAAAAUGAAGCAUUUCUGUCAAAAGGCAGCUAUUUCCCAAAUUUGCUUUAAAUUAUUGCAAGAUCUUGCACUAAAAAAGAGCAGAGAUUCUGUCUCCUCUUAAAAAAUGUUGUUAGUUAUAAAAUCUUUAUGAUCUUGGCUCUCUCCUCCUCAGCCUGUCUCCUUCAAAAACUUACUUUCAAAAAUGUGAGGUUUAAAGAUGACUCUUCUCUCUCUCUCCAUCCCCCCUCCCAAAUUUAUAUUCCUUGGAAAGGCCUGAAGAAGCCUGAGGCUGUGUCUGCCCAUGAAUAAACACCGGCGUGUACAUACACGUGCAUAUCCACGCACACUCACAGGGUUUAAAGCAUCCCAUUGAAGUCCACAUAUAGGAAAAUCCUUCAUCAUGUGAUAGGCUUUAAUAUCUGCCUUAAUAUUAAUCCCUAACUGAUGCACUCUGUCUUCAUAUGGUGGCAGAUCACAGGAGGCUCAGUAGCUGGGGCUCCUGUGCAAGUUUUUUAAAACUGCCAGAUAAAAUCCCCUGUUUGCCUUUGGAUUAAUUUGUUUUUUCAUAGCAGCUACCUGGGAAAUGUUCAUCUAAUGAAACCAAGUAAGAAAACUUUAUAGGGCUCUGAUCUUGUUUUUCCACAGUUAAAAAGAAAGACCUUGUCAUGAGGUCAGGACAAGAUCUGAUGUUAUUACACAAGGAAAUGGCUAAAGGACCCUGCAGAGUUGUUCAGGUGCUCGGUUGGUGAUAACGCUCCUAGAUUUUAUUGUAGCUUGAGUUUUGGAGAUGGUCCUGCUUAAUUGUCAGAGUUGUCUUUGCUUCUUUUGAUCCAUUUUUGUUGUUGACACUGAAUUUUCUUGUUUCACUUCUCUUUAGAAUUAAUUUCGCUUUUUAGUUCCCAUGUGUUAAAAAGUGCAGUUUCAUUUAGACUCUCAAGAGAAAAAAAUCUGAUUCCAGACAGCAAUUUGCAGCAAUAUAUUUUCCUUGCCACUCACAGAAAAACAUCACUACUCCAACAGAUCUGGGUAUAAACAAUGCUGACAGGCCCUCAAAACCAAAAUCAAAUUGUGAAAUUGAGGCAAAUAGCCCAGAGAACCUGAAACGUUCUGGUUUCUGAAAUGCUGGCUGCUAUCAAAAAUAGGAUAGAAUAAAGCUUUAUUUACGUGUAAAGCAGAGUGUUUGUUGAUCAAGUUUCUAAGGUGAUGUAGCAGGAAAUACUGUUCUUGAGGAAAAUGACAUGAACAAAGCAUGAAACUAUAAUUCAGCAGCUAUUUGUCAACUGAUAGCAGAAGAAAAAACGUGUAUUUAUAAAGCAGUGAGAGGUUUUCAUUGAACUUUUUCCUCUCCUUUGCUGGCAUCUAUGAAGGCAGCUUCUCACCUGCUCUGCUCCUGGAUAUAACUACUUGCAAGAGCAGAGCUAAAUCAUUUAUCAGAAGGAAUGUUUCUAUCAAAUCCAAAUAUCUAUACUGGCUGCUGUUUUUAUGUCACGUCACAGAUGAGAUUGAUGCUCAAGCAAGGUUAUAAUGUACCUGCAUUUUCUCCAGAUUGGUGCCAAGCUUGCUGAGUCAUUUUCCCUGUUCCCAUUCUGCAGCCGGCUGCUCGCUCGCUAUUCCCUGUUAUUUGUGUGGGUCGUAAGCUCAGCAACAGAUGAGAAUAAAUGCUAAUAUUUCUUUAGGCUGCCUCCCUAAGGAAAUAAAGGUUCUGCUGCGCUGCUUUUCUGUGCAGGUGCACACGGGCAGGAGGGAGAGACUCAGAUCAGGAAUUGAAGCAGAACUCGGCCCUAACGCCUCCGGAUUGGCAUCCACCUUCAAGCCACCAACCCACCCGUGGCAGGCAAUUAAUCUCUGUGUAGUGACUCUGAGCCACAGCGCUGCCUGAUCCUGCCUAGUACAGUUUUGUCUGGCUGGCAAGAGAUAUAAUGGAGAAGCAGAGGAACGGGGCUAACUCAAGGAAGGAGCUGUUUUCGAGGCAAAAUAACAGGGAAAUUUAAAGAAUAUAACUAUAAGCAACAGAAAAGUUAAUACCUGGGAAUGGCUGUACAUUGUUUGGGGGAACGAUUUAGCUUUUGUGUCAGUCCCGAAACAAACCAUGGCAGAGGAGCAGGUCAGGCUGUUCCUAAAGCCCGCACAGCUGCCACGCUGGUGCCAUUUUGCUCUUGGCACUAAAGCUAAAGGCCAAGAUCCCCCACCCGCACAUCUUCCAGACAUGGAUGCGUUUCCUCUGCAAUGCCAGCAUCAGGUGAAGAGCUGACUCAGCCACAGGCUACUGCAUCUGACAGCCUCACUCUCCCACCCUCCUUUCUGGCAUAGCCUGGCUGUAGCUGAGACUCAGAAUUGGUUUAUGUUUGAGAAGAGCCAAGCCUGGGGUGUCUCCUCAUGGAUGGUGCUGGGUCUCUACCUUGGCUGGAGCUUUCCUGGCUGCCUAAUGGAGAUGGGAGAGCUCCAGCCCUUCAUGUUCACCUCAGGGAAUGCUGGUCAGGUCAGGACUGCAGACAGGAUCAGAUCCAUUCUCACCUGAGAGCAAAGAAUUAAUUUAUGUGUCCUUUCUCCACCAGCUGCACCUUUCUGGGAGCAGCCACUGGAGGGGGGACACCCUGAUGCUGCACGUACCAUACGCGCUCAUCUCCAUUGCAAUUAGUUUGAUGCAACAAACAGCUCCAGCGUGACAAACUCCAGGCUAAAAAAAGCCAGGACUUCAUCUGCAUAAAUUGGAUGCACAAAGUAUGUAUUGUGUGUCACCUCCCUUAUGUCCCACAUUUGUUCCUGCAGCAAAUGGCAUAUGCUCCAGCAGUACCACGUGGUCUGAACGGACUCCUGGAAAUACAGUAGGGAUCUGAUGCUGGUAGUCUUCGAAAUUAAGACAUUAAUUGUCAUCCUGCUUAUGGACCUCUUCUGGAAGGAAGGUUUUUGCAUAUAAAUUAAGAUUCAUUGUCCUCUGAUGAAUAAUCUAUGAAACUGGAGUCACCCUCUCCAUCGAUGAGCAAGUGAUUAUUUCUGGUUUAGCUGUUAGACACCAGCUGGGACCAGAGGCCUCGUUCUCCUGGCCACUGUGUAGUCACACCCAAGAAGAUAACCUCUGCCUUCAAGAGCUUACAAAGCAGAACAACAAAAGAGGGAGCAGUAUAACACUCAGGCAGAGCAAACACAGUGACCUUUUGCAAAUGUCAAGUUAAUACCAUGAUCUGGAAGUGGAAGGGGCUCAUCAGAGGGUGGGUGGGUCAACGAAGACGGGACACACUUCAGAGCGGGGGGAUGAGAUGAAGGAAAAGCCACAGCAGAAGCUGCAUGGUGUGAGAUGCAGAAGGAAGUGCAUGCAGAGCAUUCUGUGGUCAAUUGGCACAACCAGGAUAAAAAACAGGGGAAGGAAUCUGAUGACCCCAGCCACAGCUCACAGAAUAACUAGCUCCCCAAAGUCUCACAGCCUGGAGAAGGGAGCUAGAGAGAGCAGGGGUGGACAGAGCAGUUCCUCCUAAGUGCUGGUUCUGCUCUGGCGGCUGGAGGUGUGAUAACCCUGUUUUGGGGCUGUUGCUCUCCGUGGCUCAGCCUCCUGCAGCUGUGUUUGCUGCAGCUGAGCCUCAGGGCUGGAGUGAGAUGUAGUUGAGCUCUAAGCUGCUCCAAGUCCAGGGCAGCACAUAAUUGAAUAUUAACAGGAGCAGCUCUAGGAGCUGCUGGGACUCAGGAAGUCACAAUUCCUUCUCUGCUGCUCCUUCGCCUUCGUGGGAGGUGAUUGCUGGAGGCCUUAAUGGAUGUGAGACAUAAUACGCUUCCCUCACAUUAGCCCCAGUUAGCAACCUGAGGCUUUAACCACAUCCUACCCUCUCUGAUCAUUUCCUCAUGCACCUCUUGAGCAACAUGAGAAGUGCAGUAGCUGCAGCCAGCCCAGCGACCAAGCAGAGAGGUGCAGAGACUGUAUGAACAUUGAUUUCACACCUCAUCUCCCCAGUGAACAAAGGGGUCCCACCUUUAACGAGCAUCAAAAUUUACUAAAUAUACAUUAUUGAAUUCCUGGUCUCUGUAUCGUCCUCCUGCAAACAGGAAUUAUUUAGCUGCUGGGUGGGGAUGCCAUGAGCAUCAUACAAGAUCCACAAAGUGAUAUUUAAGUUGAAAAUCUUUGGUACCAUGCUUUUGUUAAAUAUUCAAGGUAAGAUACAGCAGCAAGUUCAUAGGCACUAGGGUCUCUCCAUGCUGCCUGACCAGCUGAACUGACUAGUUGCCCUGUCUAAAAAUAUGGAUGGAUAUCUUUCCCUCCUCAAAUUCAUGCUUCACUGAGAAGUUCAGUCUGUAGUCAUGCUACUUUUAUGGAGGAAGCAAAGUGCUUUACAAGAAAAGAGAUGUCCACAGAAACCCAUCCCUGCCAUCUGAUCAUUCAGAACUUGGUGUUAGUCUAAGAAGGAGGAAGGCAACAUGUUCAGAGUACCAGAAAAUUCCCUAAGACCCUGAGGGACGUGCUUAACAUCAAUCAAAGUCCAGAGUUCCUCCUCUUGUCUUUUAAGUCUCUUUUCCCUUUUUUUUUUCUCUCUUUUUUCUCACUUUAAAAUUCACAAUAUCCUUGACUUAUCAUUUUCCUUCAAGUCCACCAGUACUUGUUUAUUACAUAAUUGCUUUCUUUUUCAAAAAACAUGCUCCUCUAUCUCCUUUUUUUCAUUAGUUGAAGUACAAUGGACUCUACCAUGAGACUGCUCCUGGUUUUGUUUGAUUUCUCUUUUCCUUUAUCACUACCCAGAGACAUCCAGCAGAUUGUUUCAUAAUCUUCCUAGAGUUCAGAGAAAGUAUAUUUCUUCCAGAUAGGAAUAUAGCCUGCAAACGUCCUCCUCCUUUUUCCUCACCACCUGCUCCUCUUGAACAACACUUCUGGCAAACUUUAUCCAUGUAUUAUUCCUUUAUUCACAAAUUAGAUGUUCCUUUUUAGGCAAAAGUGAGGAACACACUGUUUCCCUGGCAUGCAAUGUGUGUUUUUGCAUGGCUUCUUUGCUCUCCAGCAUGCUCCUGAAUUUUUGGAGCCCUCAGGAGCAAGGACCUCAUCACCAAAUUCAGCCCCAGCAGCCACAUGCUGUCUGUGGGAGGUCUGCAGAAAAGGAGGCUCUUCAUUCUGCUUGUGGUGCAUUAGGGAAGAGAAUUGGUGGAGCUCUGCAAUGCACAGGAGGAAGGAUUGCUUUUGUUAUUGGUCAGGGAAUCUCCGUGCUGCAUUUGGUAUCACUGGCUUCCUGCUGUUGUUGGAUAAUUAAUUAACACCAACAGAGUGUUUGAAGCUCUGCUAAAGUGCAAACACAGGAUUAGCAUCAAUAUUUCACAUUCUGGUCAGGCAUGGGGAAGAUGGAAGCACUGUCACACCUUGAGGAGACAGUCAUGGAACAGAGGAGAUGGAGAAAGACCACAAAUUUUCCUUGGUGCCCUGAGAAGGAUCCAAACAUCCCUGAGAGAAGCUGAUCAGCUUCCAGAGAAAAAUACUUACAAAUUGAUUUAGAAAUUAUAAUUCAAAGAAAUUUGGUCUGAAUUAGAAAGCUUUUGAGUUUAAUUUGUGGAGUCGUCUUCUUUCCCAGCUAUCCAGUAACAACAAUCUUUGCAAAUUUAUUUCUGUGGGACCCAGAACAAUUGUCAAUAACCUUUUUAUAAGUCUCCUCUGCCUUGAAGGCAGUUUUCAUCUUCUCACAUGUUUUCCCUUCUGGAAAAAGCAAAGAAAAUCCUCCAAUUGUUUUGAACCACUCAUCAUUCUCAUUGCUUUCCUUCAGCCCCUGUAUGAUUUGUCUAUGACAUUCUUCUACCUUCUCCUAGCACAGCAUCCAAACCCACACCUGGUGUUUCCUUGUUAGAGUGGAAUCAUUGCUUCUGAUGUUUCCCUCUUGUUCAUAUGCUUCAGAAUAAGAUUUGCUGUAUUUUACAACAGCUGUGUCCUCUCCAGUGCCUCUUUCACAACUCUUUUUUUAUUGAAUGCCUGCUUGACCAGCAUUUUGCCACUUUGCAUUGACAUAUUUUGUUGCUUUUUACCUUACCAAAUCUGGUUGAUUUUAUAUUAUUACUCCAAUUUCCCAGCCACAUUUUGGAACACAUCCUCUGGAGUAUUUAUAUAGUCUUUAUUUUGUCUUCCAAAUCACUAAUGAAAAUAUUAGAAUCAGGUCCAGGAGCAAACCCUGAGGGAGCCCUUUUGGAAAACCUUCUAAAUCCAAAGGAAAGGAAUUAGUAAUUCUUAUGUGAAUACAUUUAUUUUCUGUCAAGUAUGUCUUAAGAUGAUUUCACAGAGAUCAUAGUUCCUGGUCAGCUUAUGGAAAUGUCAUGUGAAAUGGUGUCAAAAACUCUGCUUCUUUCAAAAUACAUGACAUAUGCUCCCUCUUCCUUAUUCUACAACGCAGUUGUUGAGUUCAAGGAUGGAAACUGGACGGUUUUAACAUCACUCCUCCAUGACAAAUCAAGUCUGACUGACUGUAUGUUUUUCUAUUGUCAGUCAAAUGCUCACAAAGAGAUCGCUGCACAGUUUAUUGUAUUACAGUUUUUGCAUUACAUGCUGAUCUGGCUGCUGUGUAGUUCCCCAAGUCUUGCUUCCCCUUCUUUAAAGACAGACACUGUGUUUGCCCUUCUCACCUCCUCUGGGAUCGCCUCCCUUCUCCAUGAGCUCUUGCAGAUAAUUACUCAUGAGUCAGAUUGCUCUGCCCAGUGCCUGAAGUGCUCUAGAGGGAACUUCAUCCAGUCCUGCUGACUUGAAUUUGCCUAACUUCUCUGAAUGAUUUUAGCAGUGUUUAUUUGCUAGUUUGGAUUGUCUUAUCCUCUGCAGUAAAAGUGGUCCUGAUAAAUACCAGUUCAUAAUCUUUUUUUAAAAUAUUUUAUUUUUCUCCAUAGCAAAAGCAUAAAAACUAAUGAAUGCUCCAGUCUUUUCUCUGUUGUUAUUUCUGUUCUCUCAUUUUCCAUUAAUUCAGUUAUGUAUAAUUUCCAUUGCCUUCCUCCUAUUUCAAUAUCUUUACAGAGCAUCCUUUUAUCGCCCUCUGUAUCCCUUCCUAAUUGAAACUCAUUUUGCCCCUGUUUUUUCUCAUUUUAAUCCUCCACAGUCAUACUCUUCUUUUACGGACACAGUCUGUAAAAGACAAGUUCCUAGUCUUUUUUUCCACCUUAGUACAACUUGAUGUUAUUCCUCCUUUUUCUGCUUCCCUCACUCCUUCCUUUCCUUGGAGCAAGAUGUUCCAUCGUUUUGUUAUGGCUUUCAACUUAAUUAACCCCCAGCUUCCUGUCCUCACCAAUCUCCUCCCUGUUAGUCAGUCCAAUCCCAAAGAGCUCCAAUGCCCUUGUCCCACAGGAACUUUGCUCCAUCAUUUGCACUUGUGUUCCCUCCAAAAACAGUUUCACACCCUCCUGCUGGGCUUGCAAAGCAGUUUUUGUACAGUUCCUUUUUGCAGAGCACCCUUGGCUUGUUUGCCAGAUAGAAAACCAUUAUUCAUUUUACUCCAUUUUUGCAGAUCUAAUUAAUGAUCAGUUUAUCUCUUAAAUCCUUGCUCACCUCUGCAAUAUGCCAGUCCUUACCCUGUCUUUUUUCUCCAUCCAGAAGGAUUGGAAGAGGACAUUUCCCAUCCCCUCAUCUCUUUCCCUCUUCUUCCCAGGGUCUGUAUUUAGAGCUACGAGGCUUCAUUAAAACCCUUUCUAGGGUAGUAGAUGAGGAUGAUGCUCCUGCAGGCACUACAGAGAUCACCUGCCUGCUGAGGCUCCCCUCUCCAGCUCAGUGUGAGACCAAGAAGGCUUUUAGGAAAGGCAAUUAAGGGGUCUGAGUGUACCAUGCACUGAAGCACCCCUUUACCCUUUCAGAUUUAUAGUGCCCAGCACACAGAUGGCAUUUUUUUUUUCCCCACCAAAAAUUGUGCUGCUAUCUUUUAAUAAAUCAGACAACAAACCCAGGCCUAUGUGAGAUGUAUUAAAUUAAAUCCCCAGCUCUCUGGGUCACUGUUCCUCAUAAAAUGAUUACAUCUCUAAACAAGGAAGAACACAAACCUGCAAGGUCAUAGAGACCUGCAGUUCCAUGUAGAUCCACCUGCCUCUUCUUUCUCAUUAAUUGCACACAGCUGACUCUUGCUCAAGGCUUUCCUUAGGCUCUCCAGGCUCAUGGGCACUCUCCACCGAGCAGUUCCAAGGACUGAGGUAGCAUUUAAGCUCAGUGGAUAUAUCUGCCCACUUCUAUUUUGGCAGAGAGCAUUAAACAAGCAGUUCUCGAUGUCUGAGCAGCCUGUUCCACAUCAGAGGGGCUACUGGUGAAGCUGAACAUUUCUCCACAGUGGAGGCAGCCCUGGGCCCACAGAGAACACUUGGUGGGACCCAGAAGUGUAGAGGUUAUUAAGGUAACAAGGCUUGUUGUUGUCAUUAGCCGCCUGUAGGAGAUUAUUGAAAAGACAACACCAGAUUUUGCUUGAAGGUGCAGAGUGAUGGGACGAGAGAAAACCAACCCAAGGGGCAGAAAAGGCUGAUAAAACUAGAUAUUAGGAGGGGGAAAAAUACAACUAAAGUAGUUAACUACUAGAACAGGAGUCCAGAGAGCUUUUGGGAUCUCCAUCCUUGCAAAACUUCCCUGGGAAGGGCUCUGGGAAAUCUGAUGGAAGGAUGUGAGAGAGGAGCCUGGAGAUUCCUGAAGGUCUUUCCCUCCCCAAAUCUCUGUGAUGCUGAAAUUCUGUAUGGGUGGGUCUGGGGCACUCCUGUUGCUGUCCUGCUCGUUCCAGCUGAUUGCCAACAAAAUUACAAAGCUGCCUGAGCGUGUUGGUUCUGUUCUGCAUAAAUUUGUAAGGAGAAUCCAAAGACUUCGCAGAAUCCAAAGACUGUAUAAUAGGAAAAUCACAGGUAAUUACAAAUUCAUUGGUUUAAACCUGAUCCCAAACAGCAUCAAAGAAAAUCUGAUACAGGCUGUGAUUAGUAAUGAAUUAAAGGAUGCUAACCUGAUUGAUAUGCCUGAACAGUUUUAUGGAAAGUCUGUCAUGUCGAACAAAUGAAUGUUUUUUUAAUGAGAAUGUAAGUUUGGUUAAUAAAGAUAAGCCUGUUAUAAAUUA
Non-coding RNA from Cyanistes caeruleus (blue tit), 11362 nucleotides. NCBI's taxonomy places the organism in Eukaryota, Metazoa, Chordata, Aves, Passeriformes, Paridae. The record is from RefSeq and is a predicted model, not a curated record.